UGAGAAGGGAAUAUCUGCCAGCCUCAGAU
This 29-nucleotide non-coding RNA is filed under the name Mus musculus (house mouse). The record is from RNAcentral. Lineage: Eukaryota; Metazoa; Chordata; Mammalia; Rodentia; Muridae.